CAGCAGCCGCCGCGGUAAUGCGUAGGGUGCAAGCGUUAAUCGGAAUUACUGGGCGUAAAGCGUGCGCAGGCGGUCCGCUAAGACAGAUGUGAAAUCCCCGGGCUUAACCUGGGAACUGCAUUUGUGACUGGCGGGCUAGAGUAUGGCAGAGGGGGGUAGAAUUCCACGUGCAGCAGUGAAAUGCGUAGAGAUGUGGAGGAAUACCGAUGGCGAAGGCAGCCCCCUGGGCCAAUACUGACGCUCAUGCACGGAAGCGUGGGGAGCAAACAGGAUUAGAUACCCGUGUAGUCCCUGUCUCUUAUAC
This 304-nucleotide ribosomal RNA is filed under the name uncultured bacterium. RNAcentral's name for it is "partial 16S ribosomal RNA". It matches the Rfam family "Bacterial small subunit ribosomal RNA", at positions 506 to 807 of the family's 1533-position model. The record is from RNAcentral.